AGUGGAUGGGGAGCAACCUAGUUGUGCGUGUGUAAAGGUAGUGCCAAGAAAAGCGGUGAUCAUGAUGAAAAAUCAAUUCCCGGUACCCGAAACCGACACAGGUGGGCAAGUAGAGAAUACUAAGGGGCGCGAGGUAACUCUCUCCAAGGAACUCGGCAAAAUGACCCCGUAACUUAGGGAGAAGGGGUGCCACCGAGAGGUGGUCGCAGUGAAGAGGCCCAGGCGACUGUUUAGCAAAAACAUAGAUCUCUGCAAACUCGAAAGAGGAGGUAUAGGGGCUGACGCCUGCCCAGUGCCGGAAGGUUAAAGAAGUUGGUCAGUCUUAGGAUGAAGCUAGCGACUGAAGCCCCGGUGAACGGCGGCCGUAACUAUAACGGUCCUAAGGUAGCGAAAUUCCUUGUCGGGUAAGUUCCGACCCGCACGAAAGGCGUAACGAUCUGGGCGCUGUCUCGGAGAGAGGCUCGGCGAAAUAGGAUUGUCUGUGAAGAUACGGACUACCUGCAUUUGGACAGAAAGACCCUAUGAAGCUUUACUAUAGCUUGGAAUUGUGUUCGGGCUUCCUGUGCGCAGGAUAGGUGGGAGGCGUAGAAGGUAUUCUUGUGGGGAUACUGGAGCCAACGGUGAGAUACCACUCUCAGGAGGCUAGAAUUCUAACUUAAUUAAGGACAGUUUCAGGUGGGUAGUUUGACUGGGGCGGUCGCCUCCAAAAAGGUAACGGAGGCGUACAAAGGUUCCCUCAGACUGGUUGGAAAUCAGUCGAAGAGUGCAAAGGCAGAAGGGAGCUUGACUGCGAGAAGUACAGUUCGAGCAGGGUGGAAACACGGUCUUAGUGAUCCGACGGUGCUGUGUGGAAGGGCCGUCGCUCAACGGAUAAAAGUUACUCUAGGAUAACAGGCUGAUCUCCCCCAAGAGUUCACAUCGACGGGGAGGUUUGGCACCUCGAUGUCGGCUCAUCGCAACCUGGGGCGGAAGUACGUCCCAAGGGUUGGGCUGUUCGCCCAUUAAAGCGGUACGUGAGCUGGGUUCAGAACGUCGUGAGACAGUUCGGUCCAUAUCCGAUGUAGGCGUGAGAAUAUUGAGAGGAGCCUUCCUUAGUACGAGAGGACCGGGAAGGACGCACCGCUGGUGUACCUGUUAUGAUGCCAAUUGUAAACGCAGGGUAGCCAAGUGCGGAGAGGAUAACCGCUGAAAGCAUCUAAGUGGGAAGCCCACCUCAAGAUGAGUAUUCUGGUGUAAGGUCACGGGAAGACGACCCGUUAAUAGGCACGAGGUGGAAGUGCAGAGAUGUAUGAAGCCGAAGUGUACUAAUAGACCGUCGGCUUGAC
This 1325-nucleotide ribosomal RNA is filed under the name metagenome. Its description in RNAcentral is "bacterial LSU rRNA". It matches the Rfam family "Bacterial large subunit ribosomal RNA", at positions 1561 to 2925 of the family's 2925-position model. The record is from RNAcentral.